Molecule: ribosomal RNA, 475 nt
Filed under: uncultured Gammaproteobacteria bacterium
Lineage: Bacteria; Pseudomonadati; Pseudomonadota; Gammaproteobacteria
Description: bacterial SSU rRNA
Rfam family: Bacterial small subunit ribosomal RNA
Source: RNAcentral
AGAGUUUGAUCAUGGCUCAGAUUGAACGCUGGCGGCACGCCUAACACAUGCAAGUCGAGCGGUAACAUGUCAGUGCUUGCACUGAUGAUGACGAGCGGCGGACGGGUGAGGAACACGUAGGAAUCUGCCCUAAAGUGGGGGACAACCAAGGGAAACUUUGGCUAAUACCGCAUAAUCUCGAGAGAGGAAAGCUAGCUUCGGCUGGCGCUUUUGGAGGAGCCUGCGUCCGAUUAGCUUGUUGGUGGGGUAAAAGCCUACCAAGGCAUUGAUCGGUAACUGGUUUGAGAGGACGACCAGUCACACUGGGACUGAGACACGGCCCAGACUCCUACGGGAGGCAGCAGUGGGGAAUCUUGGACAAUGGGGGAAACCCUGAUCCAGCGAUGCCGCGUGAGUGAAGAAGGCUUUCGGGUCGUAAAGCUCUUUAGGUUGGGAAGAAAGUUAGUUGUUUAAGAGAUGAUUAAUUUGACGGUAC